UACGUAGGGUGCGAGCGUUAAUCGGAAUUACUGGGCGUAAAGCGUGCGCAGGCGGUUUUGUAAGUCAGAUGUGAAAGCCCCCGGGCUUAACCUGGGAAUGGCGUUUGAAACUACAAGGCUAGAGUGUGUCAGAGGGGGUAGAAUUCCACGUGUAGCAGUGAAAUGCGUAGAGAUGUGGAGGAAUACCGAUGGCGAAGGCAGCCCCCUGGGAUAACUCUGACGCUCAUGCACGAAAGCGUGGGGAGGCAAACAGGAUUAGAUACCCGCGUAGU
This 272-nucleotide ribosomal RNA is filed under the name uncultured bacterium. Its description in RNAcentral is "partial 16S ribosomal RNA". It matches the Rfam family "Bacterial small subunit ribosomal RNA", at positions 524 to 794 of the family's 1533-position model. The record is from RNAcentral.